CAGCCCGACUUCACCUGCAUAUAGCCCAACUUCACCAGCAUACAGCCCAACCUCUCCUUCUUACAGCCCAACUUCACCAUCUUACAGCCCAACAUCGCCUUCUUACAGCCCUACUUCACCAUCUUACAGUCCCACAUCACCGUCUUAUAGUCCUACUUCACCCGCAUAUAGCCCCACAUCUCCUGGCUACAGCCCUACUUCACCAAGUUACAGUCCAACAUCACCAAGCUACGGUCCUA
Molecule: long non-coding RNA, 239 nt
Filed under: Arabidopsis lyrata
Lineage: Eukaryota; Viridiplantae; Streptophyta; Magnoliopsida; Brassicales; Brassicaceae
Description: long non-coding RNA (ALYR_LNC000756)
Source: RNAcentral